AGUAAUGUCUGCUGAAGCUAAUGGAGCUAAACAAACUCUCAUCUCUUGUUUGGCUGAUCCUGGUGAUGCUCUUUUAGUCCCUGCCCCUUUUUACCCUGGGUAUGUAUGUGUGUUCUCCAAUCUUAAACUUGUUCAUAUAUUAUCGGGAAACUAAUCAGAGGCGGAAUCAGGAUUAUGAGUUUGAGGUUUCUACAUUUUUUGUUGAUAGUGCAAUUGGAACCCACAACUCUAUUGUCGAAAACAUUUUCACAAUUCCUUCCUUACCACUAAGUUGUCAAUCAGUUUUGUUAGGAGUCGUUUACGAGUUAAUAUACAUAUAUAUUUAUUGAUUUUUCUAGUACAUAUACAGGAUCUACGGAAAAGCUAUUGGGUUUGCUUAAACCACGAACUCCCACCUAGCUCUGCCCCUGAGAACACAACAGAUCCUUAUUUGUUUUAUUCAUCUUCAUCGUUUCUCAAGCUUAAACUCCUGCCAUUCUUUUUUUUUUUUUAUCUUCUUCAUUGUAUUGCUUUUCUAGAUCUACCAUCACUAACCUUCACCUUUUUCGCCGAUAGAAAUGGAUAUCAAGACCUAUAUUUAUACUUUUUUCUCUCUUCAUCUAGAAAAGCAAUACCUUCUUCAUUGUAUUGCUUUUCUAGAUCUACCAUCACUAACCUUCACCUUUUUCGCCGAUAGAAAUGGAUAUCAAGACCUAUAUUUAUACUUUUUUCUCUCUUCAUCUAGAAAAGCAAUACCUUCUUCAUUGUAUUGCUUUUCUAGAUCUACCAUCAUUGUCCUUCACCUUUUUCACCGAUAGAAAUGGAUAUCAAGACCUAUAUUUAUACUUUUUCCUCUCUUCAUCUAGAAAAGCAAUACAAUGAUCUUCUUCAUUGUAUUGCUUUUCUAGAUCUACCAUCACUGUCCUUCACCUUUUUUGCCGAUAGAAAUGGAUAUCAAAACCUAUAUUUAUACUUUUUUUUCUCUCUUCAUCUUACUCUCUUCUUCCCACAAAACAACACUAAAAAAGAGGAAGAGAAAGAACAAAUUAAUCGUAAAAUGUUAGUCAAGACUCUUAUAAUUUAACUCAAAAAAAAA
This 1075-nucleotide long non-coding RNA is filed under the name Solanum tuberosum (potato). Its description in RNAcentral is "long non-coding RNA (STUB_LNC005912)". The record is from RNAcentral. Lineage: Eukaryota; Viridiplantae; Streptophyta; Magnoliopsida; Solanales; Solanaceae.